RNAcentral lists this ribosomal RNA (451 nucleotides) under uncultured bacterium. Its description in RNAcentral is "partial 16S ribosomal RNA". It matches the Rfam family "Bacterial small subunit ribosomal RNA", at positions 354 to 796 of the family's 1533-position model. The record is from RNAcentral.
GUGGGGAAUAUUGGACAAUGGGGGGAACCCUGAUCCAGCCAUGCCGCGUGUGUGAAGAAGGCCUUUUGGUUGUAAAGCACUUUAAGCGAGGAGGAGGCUACCGAGAUUAAUACUCUUGGAUAGUGGACGUUACUCGCAGAAUAAGCACCGGCUAACUCUGUGCCAGCAGCCGCGGUAAUACAGAGGGUGCAAGCGUUAAUCGGAUUUACUGGGCGUAAAGCGCGCGUAGGUGGCAAAUUAAGUCAAAUGUGAAAUCCCCGAGCUUAACUUGGGAAUUGCAUUCGAUACUGGUUGGCUAGAGUAUGGGAGAGGAUGGUAGAAUUCCAGGUGUAGCGGUGAAAUGCGUAGAGAUCUGGAGGAAUACCGAUGGCGAAGGCAGCCAUCUGGCCUAAUACUGACACUGAGGUGCGAAAGCAUGGGGAGCAAACAGGAUUAGAUACCCGGGUAGUCC